UGGGGAAUAUUGGACAAUGGGCGCAAGCCUGAUCCAGCAAUGCCGCGUGUGUGAAGAAGGCCUUCGGGUUGUAAAGCACUUUUAUCAGGAGCGAAACGCUGUCGGCUAAUACCCGGCGGAACUGACGGUACCUGAGGAAUAAGCACCGGCUAACUUCGUGCCAGCAGCCGCGGUAAUACGAAGGGUGCAAGCGUUAAUCGGAAUUACUGGGCGUAAAGCGUGCGUAGGCGGUUUCUUAAGUCUGCUGUGAAAUCCCCGGGCUCAAUCUGGGAAUGGCAGUGGAUACUGGGAGGCUAGAGUGUGUCAGAGGGUGGUGGAAUUCCCGGUGUAGCGGUGAAAUGCGUAGAGAUCGGGAGGAACAUCAGUGGCGAAGGCGGCCACCUGGGACAACACUGACGCUGAGGCACGAAAGCGUGGGGAGCAAACAGGAUUAGAUACCCUGGUAGUCCACGCCCUAAAGCGAUGCGAACUGGAUGUUGGUCUCAACUCGGAGAUCAGUGUCGAAGCUAACGCGUUAAGUUCGCCGCCUGGGGAGUACGGUCGCAAGACUGAAACUCAAAGGAAUUGACGGGGUCAUAGCUGUUUCCUG
This 589-nucleotide ribosomal RNA is filed under the name uncultured bacterium. RNAcentral describes it as "partial 16S ribosomal RNA". It matches the Rfam family "Bacterial small subunit ribosomal RNA", at positions 355 to 1376 of the family's 1533-position model. The record is from RNAcentral.